GACGAACGCUGGCGGUGUGCUUAACGCAUGCAAGUGGUGCGACGAACCAGAGCUUGCUCUGGGGCAAAGCCGCGAACGGGUGAGUAACACGUGGGUAAUCUACCCCGAUGACCGGGACAACCCGAGGAAACUCGGGCUAAUACCGGAUGUGGUGCGGAGACAUAAGUCUCUUCACUAAAGGUAGCUUCGGCUUCCGCAUUGGGAGGGGCCCGCGGCCCAUUAGCUUGUUGGUGGGGUCAAGGCCUACCAAGGCAACGAUGGGUAGCUGGUCUGAGAGGACGAUCAGCCACACUGGGACUGAGACACGGCCCAGACUCCUACGGGAGGCAGCAGUGGGGAAUCUUGCGCAAUGCGCGAAAGCGUGACGCAGCAACACCGCGUGAGGGAAGAAGGCCUUAGGGUUGUAAACCUCUUUCAGAUGGGACGAAGGUUCUCCGGUGAAUAGCCGAGAGGAUUGACGGUACCGUCAGAAGAAGCUCCGGCUAACUACGUG
RNAcentral lists this ribosomal RNA (493 nucleotides) under uncultured bacterium. Its description in RNAcentral is "partial 16S ribosomal RNA". It matches the Rfam family "Bacterial small subunit ribosomal RNA", at positions 28 to 507 of the family's 1533-position model. The record is from RNAcentral.